RNAcentral lists this ribosomal RNA (966 nucleotides) under uncultured eukaryote. RNAcentral's name for it is "bacterial SSU rRNA". It matches the Rfam family "Eukaryotic small subunit ribosomal RNA", at positions 672 to 1448 of the family's 1831-position model. The record is from RNAcentral.
CAAGUUCUGGGUGGCAAAGGUGUGGUACUUCUGGUUUGCUUGCAUACGCUUUGUCGUAUGUUAACAAGUCAGAUAGUUUACUUUGAGAAAAAUAGCGUGUUCAAAGCAGGCGUUGAUUUGCCUAAAACUUGUGCCUUUCUCUUGUGUCAAAGCAAGUUUAAAGGUGCGACUUGAAUACAUUAGCAUGGGAUAAUGGAAUAGGACAUUGGUUCUGUGUUUCGACUCCGAUCUUAGGGCCUUCUUUUUAGGCCUGGUUCGAGGACCGAUGUAAUGAUCAACAGGGACAGUUGGGGACAUUCAUACUCCAUGGCUAGAGGUGAAAUUCUUGGAUUCAUGGAAGAUGAACUAGUGCGAAAGCAUUUGUCAAAGAUGUUUUCACUGAUCAAGAACGAAAGUUAGGGGAGCAAAGACGAUCAGAUACCGUCGUAGUCUUAACCAUAAACGAUGCCGACUCGGGAUUGGUGGACGUCAUGGCUUCCUGCUUUUCUCACGAGAAGCAGGAGGCAAGCGACUCCACCAGCACCUCCGUUAAUCAAAACACACAAGGGAAACCGUUAAGUGUUUGGGUUCCGGGGGAGUAUGGUCGCAAGGCUGAAACUUAAAGGAAUUGACGGAAGGGCACCACCAGGAGUGGAGUUUGCGGCUUAAUUUGACUCAACACGGGGAAACUCACCAGGUCCAGACAUGGUAAGGAUUGACAGAUUGAGAGCUCUUUCUUGAUUCCGUGAAAGGUAGCGCAUGGCCGUUCUUAGUUGGUGGAGUGAUUUGUCUGGUUAAUUCCGUUAACGAACGAGACCUUGACCUGCUAACUAGUUGCGGUGGGUUCUUUUCCUUCUUCUCUUUUUUGAGAAGGGAAAUUCCAAACCUGCUGUGCGUUGCUUGCAACUCAAAAUUGCAAGCAGCCGUGAAUUCAAAAACACAACUUCUUAGAGGGACAAUCUGCGUUUUUAGCAGAGGGAAGCAAAA